AUACUUACCUGGCCAGGGCGAGGACACCAUGAUCAUGCGAAGGCGGUCACCCAGGGCGAGGCUAGUCACAUUGCACGACUCCCGGCCGGGCUGACCCCUGCAGACCCCAAUGUGGGAAAUCUACUGCAAGUUAUGGUAGUGGGGGACUGCGUUCGCGCUCCUCUCCC
Molecule: small nuclear RNA, 167 nt
Organism: Cyprinus carpio (common carp)
Lineage: Eukaryota; Metazoa; Chordata; Actinopteri; Cypriniformes; Cyprinidae
Product: U1 spliceosomal RNA
Exons: 1
Source: RefSeq, a predicted model, not a curated record